This 379-nucleotide ribosomal RNA is filed under the name Burkholderiales bacterium. RNAcentral's name for it is "bacterial SSU rRNA". It matches the Rfam family "Bacterial small subunit ribosomal RNA", at positions 1 to 384 of the family's 1533-position model. Lineage: Bacteria; Pseudomonadati; Pseudomonadota; Betaproteobacteria; Burkholderiales. The record is from RNAcentral.
GAACUGAAGAGUUUGAUCCUGGCUCAGAUUGAACGCUGGCGGCAUGCCUUACACAUGCAAGUCGAACGGUAACGCGGGGCAACCUGGCGACGAGUGGCGAACGGGUGAGUAAUAUAUCGGAACGUACCCAGUAGUGGGGGAUAGCCCGGCGAAAGCCGGAUUAAUACCGCAUACGACCUGAGGGUGAAAGCGGGGGAUCGCAAGACCUCGCGCUAUUGGAGCGGCCGAUAUCAGAUUAGGUAGUUGGUGGGGUAAAAGCCUACCAAGCCGACGAUCUGUAGCUGGUCUGAGAGGACGACCAGCCACACUGGGACUGAGACACGGCCCAGACUCCUACGGGAGGCAGCAGUGGGGAAUUUUGGACAAUGGGCGCAAGCCU